AGUCAUAUGCUUGUCUCAAAGAUUAAGCCAUGCAUGUCCAAGUAUAAACACGUUUUGUACUGUGAAACUGCAGAUGGCUCAUUACAACAGUUAUAAUUUAUUUGGAAUGUAAAAUUACUCGGAUAACCGUAGUAACUCUAGGGCUAAUACGUGAUAAAUGGUACGUGUUAGUCAAAAACCAUCAUUGGUUGAUAUAUAACAUUGCUUCCGAUCGCGUGGGUUAAAAACCAGCGACAAAUCAUUCAAGUUUCUGCCCUAUCAGCUUGACGGUAGGAUAUGGGCCUACCGUGGCUAUGACGGGUAACGGGGAAUCAGGGUUCGAUUCCGGAGAGGCAGCCUGAGGAACGGCUACCACAUCCACGGACGGCAGCAGGUGCGCAAAUUACCCACUUCUGACUCAGAGAGGUAGUGACAAGACAUAACGAUGUGCAGCCUAUGGUUGCCUAGUCGUAAUGAGAACAAUUUAAAAUCAUUAUCGACUAACAAGUGGAGGGCAAGUCUGGUGCCAGCAGCCGCGGUAAUACCAGCUCCACUAGCGUAUACUAAAGUUGCUGCUGUUAAAAAGCUCGUAGUUGGAUAUCAGUUAUGUGAGCGUGGACAGGGUGUGUAUACAUUCGGGAUCCAGACAACUUUUGUUGGCUCACCAAACUUAAUUCAGGACUGCCAUUCUGACCAUUUCUGUGGCUCGGGUUGGCGUGUCCUGAUCUUUUACUUUGAGAAAAUUAAAGUGCUCAAAGCAGGCUUUCGCCUGAAUGCAUUAGCAUGGAAUAAUAAAACACGACUUUGGCAUUAGGUUUCAGACCUAAGUGUUUUAUUGGUUUUUGGGCCAAAGUAAUGAUUGAUAGGAACACCUGGGGGUGCUAGUAUCAUCGGGUUAGAGGUUAAAUUCUAUGACCCCGGUGAGACUGACUUAUGCGAAAGCAUUCAUCAAGUGUGUUUUCUUUAAUCAAGAACUAAAGUUGGGGGAUCGAAGACGAUCAGAUACCGUCGUAGUCCCAACUAUAAACUAUGUCGACUAAGCAUUGGGCAAGUUUACUUCCUCAGAACUUUGAGAGAAAUCAAAGUUUUCGGACUCAGGGGGGAGUAUGCUCGCAAGGGUGAAACUUGAAGAAAUUGACGGAAGGGCACCACCAGAUGUGGAGCCUGCGGCUUAAUUUGACUCAACACGGUAAAACUUACCAGGACCAGACAUAGUAAGGAUUGACAGAUUCAAGUUCUUUCUUGAUUCUAUGCAUAGUGGUGCAUGGCCGUUCUUAGUUGGUGGAGCGAUUUGUCUGGUUAAUUCCGUUAACGAACGAGACCUCAGCCAUCUAACUAGCUGUCGCUACAUCGGUUAGCGUCACCAACACAUACAGCUUCUUAGAGGGAUUAUCUGUGAUGCAGCAGAUGGAAGAAUGAGGCAAUAACAGGUCAGUGAUGCCCUUAGAUGCUCUGGGCUGCACGCGCGCUACAAUGUUGCACGCAACGAGUUCAACCUUGCCUGAGAAGGCCGGGUAAUCUCGAAAAUGCAUCAAAGUUGGGAUAGAUGAUUGCAAUUGUUCAUCUUGAACAAGGAAUAUCUAGUAAACGCAAGUCAUCAACUUGCAUUGAUUACGUCCCUGCCCUUUGUACACACCGCCCGUCGCUUCUACCGAUUGAAUAAUACGGUCAACUGAGUGGAUGUUAGAGACGAUUUUCGGAUCGUUUCUGCAGAAGCUUCGUGAACCUUAUUAUUUAGAGGAAGGAAAAGUCGUAACAAGGUUACC
This 1745-nucleotide ribosomal RNA is filed under the name Haplosporidium nelsoni. Its description in RNAcentral is "SSU rRNA". It matches the Rfam family "Eukaryotic small subunit ribosomal RNA". Lineage: Eukaryota; Endomyxa; Ascetosporea; Haplosporida; Haplosporidiidae. The record is from RNAcentral.